GAUGAACGCUGGCGGCGUGCCUAAUACAUGCAAGUCGAGCGAACAGACGAGGAGCUUGCUCCUCUGACGUUAGCGGCGGACGGGUGAGUAACACGUGGAUAACCUACCUAUAAGACUGGGAUAACUUCGGGAAACCGGAGCUAAUACCGGAUAAUAUAUUGAACCGCAUGGUUCAAUAGUGAAAGACGGUUUUGCUGUCACUUAUAGAUGGAUCCGCGCCGCAUUAGCUAAUUGGUAAGGUAACGGCUUACCAAGGCAACGAUGCGUAGCCGACCUGAGAGGGUGAUCGGCCACACUGGAACUGAGACACGGUCCAGACUCCUACGGGAGGCAGCAGUAGGGAAUCUUCCGCAAUGGGCGAAAGCUUGACGGAGCAACGCCGCGUGAGUGAUGAAGGUCUUCGGAUCGUAAAACUCUGUUAUUAGGGAAGAACAAAUGUGUAAGUAACUAUGCACGUCUUGACGGUACCUAAUCAGAAAGCCACGGCUAACUACGU
Molecule: ribosomal RNA, 496 nt
Filed under: uncultured bacterium
Lineage: Bacteria
Description: partial 16S ribosomal RNA
Rfam family: Bacterial small subunit ribosomal RNA
Source: RNAcentral